GACGAACGCUGGCGGCGUGCUUAACACAUGCAAGUCGAACGCUGAAGACCUGGCUUUUGUUGGGUUGGAUGAGUGGCGAACGGGUGAGUAACACGUGAGUAACCUGCCCUCUUCUUUGGGAUAACGCCCGGAAACGGGUGCUAAUACUGGAUAUUCACUGAUCUUCGCAUGGGGGUUGGUGGAAAGGUUUGUUCUGGUGGGGGAUGGGCUCGCGGCCUAUCAGCUUGUUGGUGGGGUGAUGGCCUACCAAGGCUUUGACGGGUAGCCGGCCUGAGAGGGUGACCGGUCACAUUGGGACUGAGAUACGGCCCAGACUCCUACGAGAGGCAGCAGUGGGGAAUAUUGCACAAUGGGCGAAAGCCUGAUGCAGCGACGCCGCGUGAGGGAUGGAGGCCUUCGGGUUGUAAACCUCUUUCGCUCAUGGUCAAGCCGCAACUGUGGGUUGUGGUGAGGGUAGUGGGUAAAGAAGCGCCGGCUAACUACGUG
Molecule: ribosomal RNA, 486 nt
Filed under: uncultured bacterium
Lineage: Bacteria
Description: partial 16S ribosomal RNA
Rfam family: Bacterial small subunit ribosomal RNA
Source: RNAcentral